Molecule: long non-coding RNA, 624 nt
Filed under: Junco hyemalis (dark-eyed junco)
Lineage: Eukaryota; Metazoa; Chordata; Aves; Passeriformes; Passerellidae
Description: lncRNA (ENSJHYG00000002936.1)
Source: RNAcentral
CCGGGCUAGAGCGAGGGGCACGGCUGUCAGUCGGGGGGGCUCGGUCCUCUCAUUUUCCUGUGCCCAUCGCAUCUCCCCGCGGACCAGCCGGCCCUGCCCAGCUGCUCCCCUCCCUCCCCCUGUCCGGGAACCGGGUUUGGGGCUGGGGGAGGCGGUGCCCACCCCUCCGCGGGGCCGGCGGGAGCGGUGGCUCGGCAGCCCGGGCCGGGCUGCGCUGCGCUGCGCUGGGGGAGCAGGUUUCUUUGUUGGCUGCCGGGUGACUGGUUCCCAUUAAUCUCCCGCACUGGUCGUGGCCGUCUCCACUUCCUGCCUUUGCAUACUUUUCUCUCCCUCGAUCUCAGUCCCUUCCCACCCCCCUCCCUCCCUCCCCCCUUUCUUUGCCUCUUCCCAGCUUCUCCAAAAAAGCUACAACCGCCCGGGCUGCGGGACGGGGGCUGCAGGCGGCCGGCGGAGGGAGCGCAUCCCUGCGCACCUCGAAAAUAUUUGUUACUCAAAAGGUUCUGAGGAUUAGCCAGGCACACCAGAGAAGCCAGUGAGGGAGACCCAUCCUGAAGCAGCAGGUUUUGGAUCACACUGCAGCCCAUCACUUGUGUAGGUUUCCCUUCCUCUCUCAAGUAAGGUCUU